AGAGCUUAUCGAUCCAAUUUCCGGGGAUCAAGAGCGAGCGAGAGUACGGAGGCGUAGCCACCCGCGUCGCGCUUAUCACUGUUGGAUUAAGGACACCUUAAGUCUUCGACACGCGUCUCCGCGGAGCGUACGACAAAGCCGCUUGUUUCAGUCGCGGAUACAUCCCGCUGUACGUUGUUGAACAUCGAGGGCAAUGUGGGCUCCCCUGCGACCACUCGAAAAGCCGACUGCGAGACUGUCUCCGCGGAUACAUGUCGUCUCACGCAAUCUGACGAAACUUGCGGCCGCAAGCCCGUUCAGCGCGAAGUACAACUUCGGAAGUGAAUGCCGCAUCGAAGGAUUCGGUUCGGGCUAAGCGGGAUCGGCUCGAAGAUCUGUAACUGAACGCGGCCGAUCCCGAGUUCCCAAAACUUUUUGGCAUGUGGGAGAAACAAAAGUUUUAGGUGAUGAGUUUUAUAUGGCGAUAGUUCGCUGUCAAAAAUCAAUGCGAUUUACACUCAGCUCGUAGAAUCUUGCAUGCACUCUGAGAGAAAAAAGAUGAUCGAUCGCAUUGUGAAUUAAACAUCCUUUUUGGCGUCAGGCCAGGUUGAUAUAAAGUCGUUACGAGGAACAUCGUAGCGCUUGCUGACAGAUUUCCCAGAUUUAAUUAUUCCACCGUGCAAUCACAUUCGUGAAUAUCAAACACUUCUCUCAGUGAAAGGGUUUUGCAUGUUUGUGUUUGCGACGUCCAGAGAUACACAGCUCGAAACAAUCAGGCGAUUGUUACUUUGAAUAACUUUAUUGAAUAUCUGAUACUGAUACGUAGUAUUAGUUUCAAAUUGAUCCUAUUAAUUGAUCAGUCAAUGUGAUCCCUCGAUUGUUUCAAUUAAACAUAAUCGACGCUCAGAAUUUGCGCACAAGCAUUGCGCAACCACUCACGAAAUUCGCGACUGCUUUCAUUGCGCGCGAUAAAUGUUGCAAUCGUUGCCGCCAUUAAUCCGUUCGAUUUUUCAUACACGAUCGACUAUAAUAUCACUUUCAUGGAAAUUAUAUGGAACUAUGCUCGUUACGCGUUUUUAUCGUCCUUUCAAACUCUCGCCAAACAAGAAUCUCGUUUAUUGACAAGCCGUAAUCGUUCGCGGAAAUCGUGUCUUUUUUUCUCUUCCUCUGUCAAUAUUAUCAAAAGCGCCUUGAUGUUUCAUCCGCGAUUGUUUUCCACGCGAUUCGCGAUAAUCGCGAGUGUAUUCGUGUAUAUACAAAUUUAAUUUCAUUUAGCUAACAUGUAUCUAGCUAAAUUUGUAUGAACUAUUAAAAAAAUUACCAUAUUAGUCAAACCGUAACAUAAUAU
This is a long non-coding RNA of Harpegnathos saltator (Jerdon's jumping ant), 1327 nucleotides long. RefSeq lists it as uncharacterized. The record is from RefSeq and is a predicted model, not a curated record. Lineage: Eukaryota; Metazoa; Arthropoda; Insecta; Hymenoptera; Formicidae. The transcript has 3 exons.